UGACCUCGGAUCAGGUAGGGAUACCCGCUGAACUUAAGCAUAUCAAUAAGCGGAGGAAAAGAAACCAACAGGGAUUGCCCCAGUAACGGCGAGUGAAGCGGCAAGAGCUCAAAUUUGAAAGCUGGCUCCUUCGGGGUCCGCAUUGUAAUUUGCAGAGGAUGCUUCGGGAGCGGUCCCCAUCUAAGUGCCCUGGAACGGGACGUCAUAGAGGGUGAGAAUCCCGUAUGGGAUGGGGUGUCCGCGCCCGUGUGAAGCUCCUUCGACGAGUCGAGUUGUUUGGGAAUGCAGCUCUAAAUGGGUGGUAAAUUUCAUCUAAAGCUAAAUAUUGGCCGGAGACCGAUAGCGCACAAGUAGAGUGAUCGAAAGAUGAAAAGCACUUUGAAAAGAGAGUUAAAAAGCACGUGAAAUUGUUGAAAGGGAAGCGCUUGCGACCAGACUCGCUCGCGGGGUUCAGCCGGCAUUCGUGCCGGUGUAUUUCCCCGCGGGCGGGCCAGCGUCGGUUUGGGCGGUCGGUCAAAGGCCCUCGGAAGGUAACGCCCCUAGGGGCGUCUUAUAGCCGAGGGUGCAAUGCGACCUGCCUAGACCGAGGAACGCGCUUCGGCUCGGACGC
RNAcentral lists this ribosomal RNA (610 nucleotides) under Penicillium crustosum. RNAcentral's name for it is "eukaryotic LSU rRNA". It matches the Rfam family "Eukaryotic large subunit ribosomal RNA", at positions 1 to 626 of the family's 3401-position model. Lineage: Eukaryota; Fungi; Ascomycota; Eurotiomycetes; Eurotiales; Aspergillaceae. The record is from RNAcentral.